This 485-nucleotide ribosomal RNA is filed under the name uncultured bacterium. RNAcentral's name for it is "partial 16S ribosomal RNA". It matches the Rfam family "Bacterial small subunit ribosomal RNA", at positions 899 to 1397 of the family's 1533-position model. The record is from RNAcentral.
ACUCAAAUGAAUUGACGGGGACCCGCACAAGCAGAGGAUGAUGUGGUUUAAUAUGACGCUACGCGUAGAACCUUACCGAGGCUUGACAUCCUUGGAAUCCCGCAGAAAUGCAGGAGUGCCGCAAGGAGCCAAGUGACAGGUGCUGCAUGGCCGUCGUCAGCUCGUGUCGUGAGAUGUUGGGUUAAGUCCCGCAACGAGCGCAACCCUUAUCGUAUGUUGUAUAUUUCAUGCGAGACUGCCCGGGCCAACCGGGAGGAAGGUGGGGUCGAAGUCAGGUCGGCAUGGCCCUUACGCCUCGGGCCACACACGUCAUACAAUGGCCGGUACAACGCGUCGCCAACCCGCGAGGGGGAGCUAAUCGCAACAAAACCGGUCCCAGUUCGGAUUGGAGGCUGCAACUCGCCUCCAUGAAGUCGGAUUUGCUAGUAAACGUGGGUCAGCAUACCACGUUGAAUACGUUCCCGGGUCUUGCACACACCGCCCGU